UGGGGAAUAUUGGACAAUGGGCGCAAGCCUGAUCCAGCAAUGCCGCGUGGGUGAAGAAGGUUUUCGGAUUGUAAAGCCCUUUCGGCGGGGACGAUGAUGAAGGUACCCGCAGAAGAAACUCCGGCUAACUUCUUGCCAGCAGCCGCGGGAAUAAGAAGGGGGCUGGCGUUGCUCGGAAUGACUGGGCGUAAAGGGCGCGUAGGCGGUUUGCACAGUCAGAUGUGAAAUUCCUGGGCUUAACCUGGGGGCUGCAUUUGAUACGUGUGGGCUUGAGUGGGGAAGAGGGUCGUGGAAUUCCCAGUGUAGAGGUGAAAUUCGUAGAUAUUGGGAAGAACACCGGUGGCGAAGGCGGCGACCUGGUCCUUGACUGACGCUGAGGCGCGAAAGCGUGGGGAGCAAACA
RNAcentral lists this ribosomal RNA (402 nucleotides) under uncultured bacterium. RNAcentral's name for it is "bacterial SSU rRNA". It matches the Rfam family "Bacterial small subunit ribosomal RNA", at positions 355 to 774 of the family's 1533-position model. The record is from RNAcentral.